GCAUCCCCGAGUCUCCUAGCAACAGGUAUCCCAUAGCAACCAGCCAGCUCAGCUGCAAGGUGACUGGUUGGAAGAGCCCAUAGGACCUGCCUUGUGCACACCAUCAAUGGGGCUCACGUGCAGUCCUGGGGUCCUCAGCCCACUGCCCUACCUGCCCUCAGAGUCCUGGAGAGCACAGUCUUAUGAACUCAUCCAUUCUGACAGGUUUCCUAUCUCCAUGGGCAAUAAUGGUGGUACCUGGUUCCACACCAGGUUCAGUCACUGCUUGGAGGAAACAGUUGCUUCCAGGCAGCUGGAGGGACUCUAAGAGGAGAAAUUCAUCACUAAUCACACUCCAAAGGACUUUUAUCCUGGAUCAUCAAGAAGUCUCCUUGUGAAGCAGAGAAGAUAAGAAAUAGACACCUUUGGGGUGGGGGGGGUGCCAAAUUUAUUCAUAAAGCAUUUUUACUGCUUCAUCCUUUUCCACCAAAAUUCUUUUAUCUAUGUGAUUACAAGAAACUCAUCCACCAUAAUCAAAAAUUAUGCCAUGCAAGGGCCCCUGAGAGGACCAGAAACAAGAGGACCAUUUUCAAGAUGUACAUGAAGUCUUGAAAAUUGCAAAAACAAUUGUAUUUUCCUAUAAAGUGUACCUCCAAAUAUGAAAAAUACUCCAGGCCACUAUUUUGUUUACCACCUCACUAGUACAAGGCCCCCCAGUUGUCUUUCUUCCUCUUGCUUCUGCUUUUUUUCUCAUUAAUAAUCUAGCAUAAAAUAUAACAAUUGGUUUUAUAAACUUGUUCUCCUACUAGCAUCCAAGUAGUUGAUUUCCUUUGAUAAUUAAAAAAAGAAGUAAUUAUAGAUUUAUAUAGUUUUGUCAGUCAUGCCACUUACACAGAAAGUCAUGUGACUGUCACAAUCUUUGAAAUAUGUAAGAAAAUCAAGAGAAUAAAUUCAAGAUAUAAUUUUGCAAAUCAUAUUAAUUCCCAGCUAAAAAGUUGUAUCUAUCAUGUUGUUGUUUAGUCACUCAAUUUUGUCCAACUCUUUUGCGACCCCGUGGACAAUAGCCCACCAGGCUCCUCUGUCUAUUGGAUUUCUUAGGCAAGAAUCCUGGAGUGGGCUGCCGUUUCCUCCUCCACGGGAUCUUCCUGACCUAAGGAUUGAACCUAUAUCUCCUCCACUGGCAGGCAGAUUCUUUACAGUCUGAGCCACCAGAGAAGCCCUGUAUCAAUUAUAUCUUACAUUAUAUCAUGUAAAAUACAUAGAUAAGGAGUAAUCCUUCUAUUCACAUUUCCACACU
This 1276-nucleotide long non-coding RNA is filed under the name Capra hircus (goat). Its description in RNAcentral is "lncRNA (ENSCHIG00000001438.1)". The record is from RNAcentral. Lineage: Eukaryota; Metazoa; Chordata; Mammalia; Artiodactyla; Bovidae.